RNAcentral lists this non-coding RNA (25 nucleotides) under Drosophila melanogaster (fruit fly). The record is from RNAcentral. Lineage: Eukaryota; Metazoa; Arthropoda; Insecta; Diptera; Drosophilidae.
GAGGACUUGGGCGAUUUAAGUGGCA